GCCUGGGUGGCUCAGUCAGUUAAGCAUCCGACUUUGGCUCAGGUCAUGAUCUCACAGUUUGUGGGUUCGAGCCCCACAUCGGGCU
This 85-nucleotide transfer RNA is filed under the name Felis catus (domestic cat). It matches the Rfam family "tRNA". From Rfam's summary of the family: Transfer RNA (tRNA) molecules are approximately 80 nucleotides in length. Their secondary structure includes four short double-helical elements and three loops (D, anti-codon, and T loops). Further hydrogen bonds mediate the characteristic L-shaped molecular structure. tRNAs have two regions of fundamental functional importance: the anti-codon, which is responsible for specific mRNA codon recognition, and the 3' end, to which the tRNAs corresponding amino acid is attached (by aminoacyl-tRNA synthetases). tRNAs cope with the degeneracy of the genetic code in two manners: having more than one tRNA (with a specific anti-codon) for a particular amino acid; and 'wobble' base-pairing, i.e. permitting non-standard base-pairing at the 3rd anti-codon position. Lineage: Eukaryota; Metazoa; Chordata; Mammalia; Carnivora; Felidae. The record is from Rfam by way of RNAcentral.